Molecule: ribosomal RNA, 372 nt
Filed under: uncultured organism
Description: bacterial SSU rRNA
Rfam family: Bacterial small subunit ribosomal RNA
Source: RNAcentral
CGUGGGGUGCGAGCGUUGUUCGGAAUUACUGGGCGUAAAGCGUGUGAAGGCGGUUUGCUAAGUCUGGUGUGAAAGCCCUGAGCUUAACUCAGGAACUGCGCCGGAAACUAGUAGACUAGAGUUCGGGAGAGGGUCGUGGAAUUCCUGGUGUAGAGGUGAAAUUCGUAGAUAUCAGGAGGAACACCGGUGGCGAAGGCGGCGACCUGGACCGACACUGACGCUAAUACACGAAAGCGUGGGGAGCAAACAGGAUUAGAUACCCUGGUAGUCCACGCUGUAAACGAUGAACACUAGUUGUCGUGGGUAUUGACCCCUACGGUGACGCAGAUAACUCAUUAAGUGUUCCGCCUGGGAAGUACGGUCGCAAGACUA